Molecule: small nucleolar RNA, 123 nt
Filed under: Nelumbo nucifera (sacred lotus)
Lineage: Eukaryota; Viridiplantae; Streptophyta; Magnoliopsida; Proteales; Nelumbonaceae
Source: RNAcentral
AUCCCAGAUAAACUUUCUUGGUUUUUAUCUGAUUCAUGGGAGGCCUACAUUAACGCUGGAAGUUUCGCUGAUAACACCUCUUGAAUUCUAGGAGGUGUUUUACUAGUAGCUUGCCACACAUGU